Molecule: long non-coding RNA, 37088 nt
Organism: Gallus gallus (chicken)
Lineage: Eukaryota; Metazoa; Chordata; Aves; Galliformes; Phasianidae
Exons: 4
Source: RefSeq, a predicted model, not a curated record
CUUUGCUGUGUUGUUGUUAUUAUUAUUAUUUAUUUUGCCAUGAAUUCUCAAAUACAAAGCUUUGCAAAGAGCCUUCUCAACAUCCUGAAGCAGAAUGUGACAGCUUACCUGUUUGCUGGAUAAAAGGAGUCUCCUCAGUGUGAGCCUGCCUAGAAAUUUCCCCUGCAAACUCACUCAUAUUAAGUACAGCCUUGCAGGUUGAAGCAAAGGCAGGAGGAACAAAACAUUUGCCUGACUUGAAAAAGCAAAGACAAAAGAAGAGCACUCUGCUUUUGUUCCUGCGAUUUGCUGAGGUGACAGACGUCAUUUUUGCACGAUGAGUACUGGGUCCUACUGCUGCAGCUGAACACACCAGGAGGGGAAGCUGGGAUGAGACUCAUGCUGGAUCAAGCAAAGCAGCGCCUGUGUUUUCUGGAUACAUCUAUAGUGUGAUUUGGCUGUCCUGCCUGCUUGGAUGCCUGAGCUGCAGGGAAUGACAUCUGAUGUGUGGAAGGAGGAUCCACUCUGUGAUUUUCCCAAGCACAGAUGUGAGGCUCACCAGCCUGCAGUUCCCUGAGACUUCCUCUCUCCCCUUCUUGAAUAUGGUGUUUCCAUUUUUCCAGUCACUGAGAACUUUGUCUGACAGCCACAGUUUUUCAGAUGUGAUGGAGAGCAGCUUGGCAACCACAUCAGACAGUUUCUUCAGGACUGAGAUGGAUCUCAUCUGGCCCUAUGGACUUCUACACAUUCAGCCUCAUGAGGUGGUCUCGGACUUGCUCCGCUCUUAGACUGGGAGGGAUUUUGUUCCCCUCACCUCCACCUAGAAGUUCAGGGACACCAGAGGUAUGCGAAUCCUGAGUGAUUGUGAAGAACAAGGAAAAGAACUCAUUAAGCACCUCAGCCUUCUCCAUGUUUGAGGGGCAAGGGUAGAGGCCUCCUGGUUGCACCUUGUGCAAUUGAGUCUGAUCUCUGGGAGAAGGCACUCUCCUUCCACUGUCUCUUUUACUCCAAGAGGGAGAGAUGGAAUCGUGUCAUGGAAUGUUGCCUCUGUCACAGAAAGAUGUGCCAAAGCCUCUGGAGGCUGAGGAACCAUUGUUCUGUUUAGCAUCUUCUAGGCACAGCAGUGAAUGGACAUCGAUAUGUUGCCGAUACAAUUUCACAUUGCUGUGGACAACACCUGCCUGCUAAUACAAGAGGCAAUUUGAUGCAACAAAGCCAUAAUUCAGUUCAGUGUGGUCUACAUAGUGUAACGAAGUGUGGAGCUGGAGCUGGAGCCAUGUAUUACCUUUCCAAGGCUGGCGGUGGGAAGAAAACAGGGCUUGCGCUGUGGGCAUCCUCGUCCUGAGCAGCACAUCUGUAAGCUGGGCUGGGGAAAGAAUCUGAGCUAAAAGCUGCCCUCUUAUGGCCUUUUAUAGUCACUAAACGGAGUUCUUCUAGGUGGUUGGAGAAGUGGGUGAAGAGCUGGGUAUUUCUUACAGCAGCCUGGACAACCAGCACGUCAUCAUUCUGGUCCCUGCCACAGCUCUCUCGUGCUUCUGUGAAAACCCUCCAGUUUUCCUGGCACAGAGUAAAGCUUACAGCAGGCGUGCUGCCUUUGCAGAACAUGCAUGACUGGAGCAGCUCCUACAUCCAUGCAAGUGAUAGGGAGGAGACCUGCAGUCAGAGGAGAUAUGGUGGAUUACCUACUCCCGAGGAAACUCCUUUGACUGCAUCAUUUAGGAUUUAUCUUCCCACUGUACUGUGUUGUUUCCUAAGAAGGAUGACAGCCCCUGGGCCACAUCCUUGGGUCAAGCCCCCCUGUGGUUAUUGGCAAGGGAAGGACUUUAAAAUCAUUGCUUCCCCUGCAUGAAGUCUCCUUUGGGAUUGGAAUUCUCCUUUGAUUGAGCGGGAUACCUGCAAACGGCACAAACUUUUCACAAACCCAAAGCCCUAACCUGCCUGGAAAAUAAAAGUGACCUGAAUUAACCAUCCACGUAAGGUUCAGCUCUACUCAUGGACUGCCACAGGCUGUUUUCUUGUGCCACCUGGUUAUGGCCCAGAGACAAACCUCACAUUUGGGUUUAGGGGACCCAGGGGACCUGGCAUCAUUUGGGGCCAUCACUUGGCAAUGCACUGUCUGUUCCCUCCGUUUCCAUCCUGGUCCCUGUCCUUUACCAUCAGACAUCAGAUUUUGAGUCUAACCUGAGCACACAUUCAGAAAUGACGCAUUUCCAUGCUGCACCUAUUUAGCGUGCAACUUGAUUCCCAGACAUUUGUAUUCAGGCGUUCAAUCUGUAAGAACAGAAAGCUGGUGCACAGAGUAGAAAAGCCAAGCAAUGCAGGCUGACCAGCAGGGUGCUUGGUUGCUGCUGGGCAAGUGGCAGCCUUCUGCCUGUGAGCUUCUCUGACAUGGGGCAGAGUGUAAAUCAGCAAGGAUGAGAGCAGGAAAGAGCAGAGAACUUGCUAUGGAGGUGAAGGGAUGUAAGUUAGGAGCAAGCAACUGCAAAAACUAUUGUGUUAGGCUUUGUCAGCUCCUCCUUCACCCAGCUGACAGCAUUUUCGUGCCAGCAGUGACUUCCAUCUCCCACCCAACCCAAGCUGCGUUUUGCCUGUGGCAUUUACACAUUUGUGCUGGUACAAAGCUGUCACAUCCCCAUCUAUCUCCACCUCAUGAGUGGAGAUAGAUGCCUGCUCAUCGUGCAUCGUCUCAUGCAUGAUGAGCAGGCAGGGUGGGCUGCAGGAAAGGCAGAGCAAUGAGCUUUAAUAUUCUCCGUUUCUCUUAGCAUGGUGCAGCCAGGAGACUGCUUCUUGGAGCCAACUGCAGAGUUUAUCCAGCCCAGACUUCCGAGAAGAGGGAUAAAUUAACCACCCAACCAUAUCCCCUACAGAUCCUUCUCAGUUUGAAAAGGAAUCCGAUCACAGCAUCAUGACGUGGGAAGCAGAAGAGAUAUUUGCAUUUCAGUGACCCCUUUGCCUGACUCGUGACGACUUAGGGCCAUGCAAAGAAACACCACCAACAACAAAAAUCCAUGCCCUAAACAGCGCUGAGAACUCACCAAGCCUGCGCUUGCAGUCAGUUCCACCUUAGCUCGGCUCUUGCUCUUGUGCUCUUGCAUCGCUAGGGGGAAGCGUUUGCCUGCUAUAUGGGCACGCUGCCGGCUCGGGUCGGUUCCUGCUGUCCCCGCACGGUGACAGCUCGCCCCGGCUCGCCUCUGCCUUGCAGAGAGGGCACGGCUGGCACCGCAACUCCCGGUCACUGCUUAUUUUCCUGGUUCACACCACGAGGACAGAAAACUGCCGCUAAUAGCGCCCGGCAAAGAUAAAUAGACUGCUCUUUUCUAAUCAAGUUUUACAUGGGUGACAAAAGCUAUUUUGCACAGCAUUGCACUGCCUUGCCUGGCAGUGGGAGAAAUCCCUGCCUGUAUGGCCACGGCAAAUGCACACAGAGGCAAUCACCUGAAGGCUCUGGUAUGCCCGUUGCCUGAUAUACCUCUCUCGAAAUUGGUGCCUGGGGCCAUCAUUUAGUAGAACAAUUUGGAAAGGCUCUUGCCUUUUUGGUGGAUAUUGCAGGCAUUGAGACAUGCCAUGGUGACAGGAGGAUGGUGGCAGGAAUGGGUAAUAUGGCUCCCAAGCACUCUUGCUCUCCUAGCUGUUUUUUAGCUCCUGGAGUUUCCAAUCCUCCCCCUGGGCCCAGCAUCCAUCACCUCCUUCCUCGAGGAGCUGCAUCUUGAGGAGCCACCAGCAUUGCUCCUUCUAGCUCCAUCUGAUUCCUAUCUGGAAACAUCCUGUCUGUGCAUAGGAGGCAACAUCUUCCCACUGAUGAAGGGCAAAGAAACAAACCCAAAAGCUUAGUCUUUCAAAAGGCCACAUCUAAAUUGCCCAUAGGAGGGAGGUGAGAGCCCAGAUUUGCUGCUGUGAGGAUGGGAGCUCCUGAGCCACUUCCAGCUGUCCCGAGAACAGGCUGCCCAGGGAGGUGAUAGAGUCAUCAUCCCUGGAGGCGUUCAAGUGACAUGGAGAUGUGGCACUGAGGGACGUGGUCAGUGGGCAUGGUGGGAGUGGACUGCUGCUUGGACUAGAUGAUCUUCUAGGUCUUUUCUAACCUGAAUGAUUCUAUGAUUUUCUCAUUCUAUGGUUCUAUGAUCUGGCUUGUGGCAUCUGCUCAUCUGGAAGUUGGAAGGGGUGGAGCCUGGCUGCACCUCUCUUAGACCCCAUUUAAGGGCUGACUGCCACUGGAGGAGGCUCUCUGGUUGGAGAUCCCUCCUCUCUGGGGUUUCUGCUUUGAGCCUAGACAUUUGGAGAUUGGUGAGCCCUUCUUUCUUUUGUAACAUCUUCCUGUUGUGCUGGUCCCUCUGCUGCUACAGUCACCCUCUCUGAUGAGCCUUUUGCACAAAGAUCCUGUCAGCAUCCUCUCUUUGCCCUGUUGCAGUCUUGAGUUCUACAUGUGAGCAAGGACUGGGACACCUUCCCACAGGUGUAGGUGCCUAGCAGCAGGAACUGAGCUCCAACCACAGUGCUGGGGUGGGAGGUGCCAAGAUUUGCAGUUCUAUUGUGACUCUUAUAUUGUUACAAUCUACAGGCCAGCAUGCGGAGCCCUGGGGUUGAGCAGGCUUUUGUCCAGUCUACUUUUAUCCUCUGCUCCUUUGCCAUAGGAGCCUUUUCCUUUAAGGUGCUUCUUAGAAUCUUCUGGGGCAUGAGAAUAUGCUGCUAUGCCCACUGCAGCCUCUGGAAGUAUUUUCCUCCUCAGAAAGGAACACAGUGUCCGUGCAACUUUAAAAGUCUGCCCUAGGAGUUUGCUUGUCAAAAGAGUGAAAUGUCCCAGCUUGUGUCGAGGGGAUAAAUGGAAGCAGGUUGACCUCCCUCCUUAGCAUCGCUUAAACUGGAGGAAAGAAGCUCAGAGAAGCAGCCCAGUGAUUUGUUCUCCUAUAAAAAUGACCCUGUCAUCACGCUCCACUGUUUAUACGAGCAGUGGGGCUGGCACUGAGCCUAGUCUGGGAAGAAAAAUGAGUUUCGUUCUGCUGCUUUACAGAAUCACAGCAUGACUUGGGUUGGAAAGGACCUUAAAGGUCGCUCAGUCCCAACCCGCAGCGGGGCUUUGGCCAUAGGCAUCCAUCCCCAGAAACUGGGGAGACUGGGAUCAGAGGCUGAGCAUGCCUGUGUGGUGUGAUAAUAUCUACUUGCAAAUAAAUAUCCUCUCUGACAGACCAUCACCCAGCCCCAGCUCUUCCAAGACCCCAGGCUGCUGCUUAGGAAACGAUGGUGUUUGGGGAUCAUUGGUUUUACCUUUUGCUUUUCUAAGUUUGUCUUCUCCUUCAUCCUAGGCCAAAGGAAGGAGAUGUUUCAAGUUGCUGUGAAAAACACAACAGCAGUGGGGUUUUUUUUGUCCCUUCUUAAACAAGAUGGAAACACACUGUCCUUUUUCCAACUUUCUCUCAGCACCUUCACUGUUAAUUCCCAUUACUCUCAGCCCAGCUUUCAGGUCUUUGACAAAUUCUCUCUGUUCAUUCCCAAGUGCAAAACUUCAGCUGUGAUUUUUGAGUAAAGGUCAUCAGUGACACCAAAACUGGUUAGUAAUUUUCUCCUGAACUUUCUCAGACCCAGCUGUGACUCAGCUGCUACAAUCAGGAAAUAACAGGGGAUGGCAGGAAUGCCUGUGGGGAAAUACCCCCUAAAAUAUAUUUAUCUUUAAAAAUGCUUUUACUGCAACCUGCUUGCUCAUGUGAAUAACUUUUGGCCAAGGUCUGCCACACAGCCAAGUCUCAAACGGCUCUCUGGUUUUAAAUGCAUUAAAAAGCAUCACCUUGUCAUCAGUCAUGGAUGAGUUCUGUAGAGCCACAAAGGUUUCCAAAGGCUCUGUUUUCAUUUGUGUCUUUGCAGAAACUUGGGACCCCUGUGCCUGGGGCCACCCACACUUCUAAUGUGACCCCAAGGGGGAUUUUGGAAGAGGCAGGAGCUGCACUGCAGGGAGCAGAGAGGGGAGCUGGGGCAUAGUGUUCUGUGAAGGUGGCAGAAAAUGAGGCAAAUUCCAUUCCAUAGUGGCUUAAAAUCAUCAUCCAGAGAGACUUAGUCUUGAGCAGUGGGUCCAGGGGAACCUCAUUAGGUUCAACAAAUCCAAGCGCAAAGUCUUGCACCUGGGUCGUGGCAAACCCCACUAUCAGUGCAAGAUGGGGGAUGUAAGGAUGGAGCACAACCCUGACAAAAAGGACCUGGGGGUGCUGGUGGAUGGCAGCUGGACAUGAGUUGGCACUGUGCCCUCACAGCCCAAAGCCAACCAUACUUUGGGCUGCAUCAAAAGCAGUGUGGUCAGCAGGGGGAGGGAUGAGAUCUGCCCCUCUGUGCUGUGAGACCUUACCUGGAGUACUGCGUCCAGAUGGGGAGUCCUCAGUGCAGGAGAGGUGUGGACCUGUUAGAGCAUGUCCAGGGAAGGGCCAUAGAAAUGCACCAAGGGAUGGAACACUUUCCAGAAGAGGACAGGCUGAGAGCUGGGGCUGUUCAGCAUGGAGAAGAGAAGGCUGCGGGGAGACCUGAGAGCGGCCUUUGAGUAUCUAAAGGGGAGCUACAGGAAACAAAGAGACAGACUCUGUGGCAGGGUCUGUGGUGAUAGGACAAGGGGAAAUGGUUUCAGAGUAAAAGAGGGGAGAUUUAGACUGGAUAUGAGGAAGAAGUUUUUUACAACAUGGGUGGUGAAGCACUGGCACAGAUUGCCUAGGGAGGUGGUGGAAGCCCUAUCCUUGGAGACACCCAUCCAAAGUGGUGCCAGCAGCUCUUCCCUGUGGAAAUAAUGGUUGCUUCCCCUUGCCAGCUGACUGCACAGGAGCCCCCUGCUGCUUCUGUCCCAUGUCAGAGCUGUAGCUGGGCCAUCUACCAGCACGAUCUCUCAUUGCCACUGGUGAGCAUUAGUGACCUGUGAAAUAUGCGGAUGUGUCUGCAGGAGGGCACACGCUCAGCCAGCCGUUUUGGAGGCUGCGUUCCUGGCUGUGCCCUUGUGUGCUGCUGGCACCAAUUCACAGCUCCUUCCAUCAGCAGGGAAAGCGAAACGUAAAAUGAAUGUGCCUCUGGGGAAGAAGAGGUGGUGAUUUUAGGGUUUGAGGGGAGUAACUGAGAGCAUUGAAGUGCAUGUGAGAAGGAAAAGGCAAGGCAUCGGUUUGCAGUAAUUGUUUUGUAUGGAUACAGAAGUUGAAAUUGCAAAGCAGCUUCUAGGGUAGAGAAAAUGCAGUAGGUUCUUUGAUUUUUAGACGUAUAUCAAUCUGUGAGGGUAAUGGAAGUUGGCUUGGAAGAUAUAUGACAUCUUUCUAGCCUUACUGUCAAAAAGAUGAUUAAAAUUACAGGUUCCCAUUCACUGUUUUCCUUUAGGAUUUGAUUUAAAUCUAUCAGUUUUGUUCUCAUUUCUCAUUCAUCUGCUUUUUUCUGUUUGCUUUUUAAAUUAUUUUCCCCAAAUAUAUCAAUGGUUCCCAAGCUUCCAGUCCUGCAAUUCUUAUUGCUAGUGAGGAGGAGAGCCCUGAGCUAUAUGAGUGCAAUUAUACCAGCGUGGAGUUGAUUGUAUAUGCAUGCUGACCUUAACUUCUUGCUGUGUUCAGCAGCUGGGUGUUGGAAUGGAGCCUUUCAUAGCUAUAGGUCAGGAGCUCAGGGUCUGUAAGCGCACCAUUCUCAUGUAGCUUAAGAAGAUUCAACAGGGCAUCAGGGUGUACAUGCCCAGUUGCCAAAAUCAGGUCAUCUACUGAUAGUCUGUAUAUAUUUAUGUACAUAUAUUUCAAAGACCCCUCUGUCUUAUUUCUUGCUAUAUGUGGAAGGAAGCUGAGAUCUAGCACUCAUUUAUUUGUUGUGCUGUGUCCUUUGAAGGUGGGUUUCCCAAGUCAUUCUCUUCUCCGUCUUUUUCUCCCUGCUCACGACUUUAACCCUUGGGCAGCUUCUGGCUCAUUUGGCUGAUGGAGAGCUGGGGGGUCUCUGAUGCUUUUAAUUGAUCUGAGCUUUGGAAAAGCUGGUGGCUGUGAGGAGGGAGAGUCUCUAGGACAGUCUUCCUGCAGAGCAGAUGAGGAAGAGUGCAGUGCAGUUAAAUGAGCCAUAUUCCUCUUGUGUACCACAUUUAGAGAGAGUAAGGACUAUAUGUCUACAUCCAAACACUUCCCAGAUAGGCAAGCGUGGCCUUCUUACAGCCAUCACGUUUAUCCCAUGAGGCUGAGAAGUGAAACCUCCAUUUGCUGCUGUCUGUUAAUUAGAAAUCUUCCAAGCCUGAGCCCUCUUUAACAAUUAAAAGAAGGAAAAAAAAGGCAAAAAACCCUAUUUUAUUGCUGGAGUGAGUUCCAUGUCAAUAUAAAUCACAUCAGAGAUGAAGCCUCACAAUUGGAUGAGUCUGGAUGAAAUGAGUUUCCACAAAGCCUAUUUCUCUGUCACUCUUUCUUUCCCUGAUGAAUCUUUGCCACCACAUUUCUGCCACUCCUCAGAGCUCCCACAGAGUACUGGGCUCCCAGCACAAGGCUGCUUGGGCCGUGCUUUGUCCCAGCACAGUUUAAUAUCUGAACGCUUGAUGGUGCAAUCUCAUAACAUUCUUUAUACUUCUGUUUUCUAGGAGUGGGAUUAUGUAAGCCUGAUGGUAGUUGCACCUCCUGCUGUAAAAUGGGCUGUAAAAUGAAUUGUUAUGUAAAGAGGGGAAAGCUACAAUUCGCCUGCCUUUUUUCUCAUUAAUAAUGAGCAUUUUGCACUAUGAAGCAUUUUGCAGUGAUCAAUCACAAAACAAGUACAUCCCAGCAUAUCUUCAUGUUUCCUGGAAACACAGGAGAUGCAUUAAAGCUGAGUACAAUGUUCAGUGGGGAAGACAUCACCUGUGAACCUCCACAGCUCACUACCAGCCUCUCAGAGGACUGUGUGUCCUCACCGUGCUCAGAGUGCAGUUCUGUCUCUGGGAUGUUGCUCUCCAUCACUGCAGGGUCUUGUUGGUAGCAAGUAGCAUGGGGAACACUUGCUGUGUAGGGUCAGGUCAGGCUGGGCUAGGCCAGAAUGUCCCACUGCAGUGUGACAGAGUCUGUUAAGAAUUUGGUGUUGCAGGUAGGUUCUGGAGCCUUGUGCACCAUAGCUGCGAGUCUGUUCACCACAAAUCUAUCUAGCUUGCUACUGAGCUCAGGAGUUUUUCAGCAUCUGUCCUUUCCUGUACUCCAGGCUGGAAUUGCUCUGCUGGAUGUGCAGUUAGAGUGACCCAUCACUCCUAUUCUCCCUGCCAGCUUUGAUGCUGGUGCCUUAACGGUGUCUCUCUCUUUGGCCUUUUCAUACUUCUUGCAAAAAACAUCUCUGUACUGCCUGCCUGCUCAAGCGGAACAAGAGAGCUCCUUUCUGCUCGUCAGCUAAAAAUUACCUGCUUUCUCCGUUGAAAGAGUUUCCCUUUUGCUCUAUUUGCAGUAUUUCUUCCAUUUUAUCAUAGGUAUAACUUCUUGCAUCUGAUCCAGCCACGCACAUUUGCUGCUUCACACUGCUCUGCCCUUUCCUGUUGCUGUCGCAGGGGUUACUCCCAUUACAGCAGGACCAAAGCAGCUCACUUCUUUAGGAAGCUCAUAGGAGGAUUGUCUACCCAUGGUCAGCAAUGGGGGGUUGUUGCUGGAGGCCUCUGCAAAAACCUGAGCUUGGGGAUGGCCUAUGGCUAACCCCACCUGCUCCGAUGGGUAUUGCUCUUGCUUUUCACCUGAAAUCAGAGCUGCUUUAUUUACGGUGUGAUGACUAGCUCCCAGGCAGCCAGGCUUCAAUGCAUACUAAUGAACAAAACAAAUGUUUUCCCCUCAAAGUAUCAUGUGUUUUCCCAGACUUCCCUGCAUCUCAACCAGCGAGAUAACAUCAAAGUGGUAAAAUUUAAUGAACCUGCUGCAUUAGAGCGCAGCAUGAUUUAUUGGCUGCUACGCAGAGGAAACUCUGCUGCUGAGACUUUUCAGUAUAUUCCUCUGCUUUUACUAGGUUAAAAAUUAUUGCAGCCCGUUUGACAGGCAGCCAUCCUCGGUGCUGCUCUGUAGCAGACAGACCAGAGGACAGCCGUGACUGCUGACCAGCAAUGUGUGAAUGCUCCUGUUUGAAGACAGUAAGCAAUGAACAGUGCCCUAUCUUUUCUGAGAUGGGCAUAUUGCUGAAACAGCCUGAUUUCAAGAGGAAGCUGAGGGCUUGCUUAUUAAGUGCAACAACAACAGAAAAAUCCCACAUGAUGCAGCCCAUCUACAGAACACAUGAGAGUGGGGAAGGAGGCUUUAAUUAUGCAGCUGUUUCCAUGACAACCUCUUCUAUCAAAUGGCCAAGCAUAAGGGCUCUCUGAUCCUCUCCCGCUUGGUCUUGUUCACCUCUGGAACAACUACUCCAGGAUAAGAGCCCAGCUGUACCUCAGUGCAUUUUACACAAUUCUGCAAUAACAGGAAAAAAAAAACCAAACCAACCUAAUGACUGUCCUUAGACGGAGAGGGGCUGGAGGAGCCUGGUUUUACUUCCAUUGCAACUGCUUUCUCCUGCCUUGAUGACAAAUCCAUCUGAGUGUUUUUGGUCAAGACAAGGAGAGGCACUUUUCUCUGCAUGAGUCUCUUGGAGUCUUGGUGUAUGCCCUUCUCUCUGGGCGAGGGCAAAGGGAUCCUCAUUUGCUUCUUCUUUUUGCUUCAUGGGACAAGCAUGACUUUGGGUUGGGGGAAUACAUUAUAAAUAUGCGCUCCUUCCCUCUGGCAUAGGAAAAACAGGCAGCAAUGCUCACUGAGUGGCAGGCAGCCUUCAACAAUUUCUUGCUUAAUCUGAAGAAAUCAUGAGUCCUAAGAUGACAUUUCAGAGUAAACGGGGAGGAGGAAGACAUCAAGGUGUUGUCCAAAUGGAGGAAUUGUUCUGUUUUCUCUGAGGCCAUGUGAAUGGCAAAGCAUUAAUAUUUGCUUUUCCACUUCCCUUUGGGCCCCAUUGUUUGAGAGCUCAGCCCAGAGACGAGUUUCCAGCUCACCUCUGUUUACACUGAGUGUCGGCGUUGCCAGCCCUGUAUUGAGCCUUUCCCUUCCUUAUAUUGGCUCAGUGGGAAGGAAAGCUGUGCUAAUUCUUCCUAACAUGAGAAGACUCAUUGUCCCUCUUGACUGCUGUUCAACAACAGCUGGUUUUGUUGUAUUGUGGAGCUGUGUAUUUUCUUUUUAAUGGCUCAACACUACUUAAAAGCCAGGUCUGUCCCUAGCAUGUCUGCCAAAUCAAAUGGUUGGCUUGCUGUGAAACAGCCUAAAACUUUAAUUGGAAAGUGGUCCAACAAUAGAGCAGGUCCAAAAUCCCACUUGGCUCAGAUUCCUGUUUCUCAGGUCAAGAUUUGACAGUAAAAACACCACUUUAGUAGUGACAGCGUCAACUUUUAGUGUGUGCCCUCCUUCGAGAGCACUGAAUAUUUUGCUUGCAUUGAAAUGAGCUAAUCUCAAUUUGAAACAGAUAUUUUGCUUUUAAAGAAGCCUUGCAGGACCUUUUUGGAUGCAUUAAGAGAGCCAGCAAGAGGGUUUUAUCUGUCCUCUUUCCUUUAAACUCCUCCAGCGUUGGUCUUCGGAGGUAUUGCUCAAGGAGUUGGUGGGAACUUCUAGAGCAAGAUGUAUAGUACUGUAACUUGCAAGUGAGAUAGUUUUUGCCUCCUAAGUCAUAGCAACCUAGUGGCUUUUACAGGCUUGUUAAGAAUGGCUUUAAUUCUAUCUGAAUCCUGUAUAACUCCCAGUGUUGCUAAUUUGUAUGAGCAAAGGCAUGGCAAGAGAUGCCAAAAUGCAGCUGAAGACCCAUGUCUCGCUGAGCACCAUUGUAUGUCACUGCUGCCCCAUGCCCCAUAAAGCAAGGAUUUCCCCUCCAUUGGAGGCAUGAGAAGAAGGAGGCAGUUGUGCUGACUGUCUUGUUUGGAUUUGGGGUAGAAUCCAAGCUCUGCCAAGCUCUACCUGCCUGUUUCCUGGUGGGGCACUGUGAUGGCCCGGUAAGCUGCUUCUCACCCAGCACCACAGCUCACAGCCUGCCAAACAACUCACUGCUUAGUAAAGAGCAUGUCAGCGAGUGGAUUAACCUCUGCAUAAACACAAGGUAUGUUUGAGGGAGGCCUGACUGUUGGUGCCUUGAAGCUCGGAGCUUUCUUACACUUGGGAAUUGCCAUGCAGUUGUGCAUACUGGGCUCUAUGAUUCUAUAGCUCACAGUGUACUGAGAGCAGCCUUGUGGAGAAGGGCUUGUGAACCUUGAUGGGUGAAAAGGUUGACAUGAGCCAGCAGUGUGCGCCUGCAGCCCAGUAAGCUUACCAUACCCUGGGCUGCCCCAAAGCAGUGUGACCAGCAGGUCAGGGAGAUGGUUGCCCCUCCUGACCCACUCUUGUGAGACCCUCAGGAAGGACAUGGAGCUGUUAGAGCAGGUCCAGGGGAGGCCAUGAGGAUGGUCAGAGGGUUGGAGCACCUCUCCUAUGGAAACAGGCUGAGGGAGCUGGGCUUCUUUAGCCUGCACAGGAGGAGGCUCUGGGGAGGCCUCACAGAGGCCUUCCAGUACCUAAAAGAAACUUCCCUGCUUUCUGAAGCAAUUAAAAGAGGUGGUGUUACUUGAGGUGUGCUGUGUGCUCUGACUGGCUCUGGGGCCUAGAAAAGCCCCCAUCCCAGCAGCAAGUAGCUCAGAGCACAUCUUAGGGGAAAACAGCUUUGGACUUUGGGGCAGAUGUUUCCUCCCUGCAGAGCUGGCCAUGCUGUGUGCUAGAGGACAGCUGGCAAGACCUGAAGAUCUCGGUCGAGUCAGGUGGUGAGGAUGUGUCGUGUCUAUGAGGUGGAUACCAAGGGCCCCUCUUCACCUCUGCUGCCCUCCUGGAGCUGGAGGGGACAUGAGUGGCAAGUUGGUGAGUAAACACACUGGGCUGCAAUGAAAGGUUGCUGAAGUGAAGGAGAAUCAAAAGCAGCAGCUAAUUGGGAGGGAAGAAAGUAUGGAAACCUAAGGCUUGGAAAAGAAAACAAAUAAAUUCUUAAUGCUUUGGCUUUGUAAUGAGCAUAAUUAUACUUAAGCUCCUUGCCUAAUUUUGAAGCAGUCUGUGAGUGCUGAAAGCCCAGAGUUUACACCAGCAAGCAGCACUGACAAGCUGCAUGCAGAAAUUGGCCUUCUGACUCCAAGAGGAUAUUGAAGAUGUUCUGGUAAAUAUUUACAUUUUUUAAUCUCCAUUGCUAAUCAGAGCUGGGAUUAUUUAACUUGCAAGUGUUUAUUAAAAUAAACUCUGCACUGAUUGCUGUUUCUGCUAUUUUUCCCCCCUCCUGUCCAGAAGCUAGCAAAGCAGGGCUUUUGUCAAAGUUACAUUUGCUGAAGCACUGCAGUUGCUACUAUACAGCACAGCAUAGUUUGAAAGGCCCUUGGGGACAGACGUUAUUCCAAAAUGAGCUGUCAUCCUAAUCUCGAUGCUGCAAUUAGUUAACAACAGGAAUCUCGGAAUAGAGUGAUUCUGUGGGGUUUUUUCUUCUUUGAAUACCACUACCGGUGGCUAUGUUCACUAUAUUUAUGUCAGAUAGCCCAGCUGGAUCCCAGCUUGCAUCUACUGUUCCUUCCAUCUUUGGUCCUGGAGGGAACUCAAAGCACACAGGGGUGGUUGGGUGGCUCCUGGAAGGGAUGGUGCUUCCCAUGGAGAUGCUGCACAUCCUGGCACUGCUGGCUAACGGGGAAAGCAUCUUGAUAUCUGUGGCAUUUUCCCCAUUAAUGCUGGAAGGAUGGGAACGCUGGUGAGAAAGAAUGCAGGGGAUAGCAUCCCCUGUGUGGAUGGGAAAAGAAAAAGCCACCAGAGCUGUGCAAAUGCUUCCUGAAGACUUGGGUUUCUGAGUCGAGCCAAGGGACUUUUGCAGCAGUUGUCCCUGCUGCCAUGGCUCAUUUCAGCCCUUGCGCAGACAGAUCUGUAAGAAGAUAAAGCAAAGGCUGCAUGCCUGGAGCUGGACAGACCAAGGGCAAAUAGUUGCAGAGCCUGGUGAUGAGGAGGGAAUAAAUGAACUUCUUGUGAAUCAGAGCAGGACUCUGCACCAGUGCUGCCUGUGUUCCAGGGUGAGGGAGCUGUGGGCUCUUUGGUGCCUUGAGGUAUCUCUGUCUUUAGUUUUUAAUAUCAGCUUUGCAAAGUUUGUAGCUUGUCUGGGUAUAUUCUUUAAGCCCUGAUGCAUUCUGCCUCUGAGUAGAGGUGAAAAGCCCUCCAUUCAUCCUGAAGGAGAGCAUCACACUUAGCUGCUUAACAUGACUUUUCACAAAGAAGUAAGGGUAACGCCACCGAAUGAACUGGUCUCUAAUUGCUGCCACUGAACCCUCUGAAUCUCUGAGCUAACAAGCAGGAGAGGGGAGACAUCAUCAGCAUUACCCUCAAUUAGGAAUACUUAGGAAAGAAGCUAUCUUUUGGUCUCUGAUGUGAAAAAAUCAAAUCGCUGUUGUCAUCUGUCCCCACUAGCAUCAGGCUGUCUUGCAGCAAAUGCCUGCCCAUCUUUUCAAGUCUGUCAGCUGGUUUUGACCUUGGUAUGAACCGUCCUGGGUCUGGGUUUGUCAGCAGGCAGGGUGAGAAAUGAGCAUAGUGGAGGAGGUAGGAGAUGUGAAGUGCAGCAGGAAGGAAGGCAGUGUGAAAAACAGAGGAUAACCGUAGUGUUACGGGGUGAGCAGAUGGAGGGCUGUCUCCAACAGGCUGAAACGGUGUUGCAAUAUCCGUGGGCUCUCCUGCAUUAAUAAUUCUGAUAAGCAGUAAGGAAUGUGGAAUGAGUUUUUUAUCCAACUGAUAGGGCAAAUUGGGAAUACCUGAGAGUCAUUCUGCCAUCUUCUUCCCUGCAAUGCUUGGGCUGAGAGGUAAUAACUUGCAGCUCCUUUUAGCAACAGCUUACACUGGGACCCCAAGUCACCACCAGAGAUGUGGCCCUGUGCAGCUUGAGGGUGAAAGGGCACUGGUGGUUCCAGAAGAAAAAUGAGGAAGGAGAACCAGAAAUAAAGCAGAUAAAUUCUUCCAUGAUUGUUAGGUGGUGCUGUGUGGAGCCAGGAGCUUGACUUGAUGAUCCAUAUGGGUCCCUUCCAACUUGAGAUAUUCUAUGGUUCUGUGAUUCUAUGACAGUGGAGAUGAACUUCCAGAUGUAAUUAAAAGCAUUGUUGCCUUUGUUAUUCAUAAGAAUGUCUGCCAUUGAUGGGAAGCUGGGGCUGGUAUCAAUGAAAUGGAGCCCUAUGUGGAAUGGAAGCAUGGAAGUUAAAUCAGCAUGUCUGGCAUCCAGGUGGUUUCUCUUUAGUGUAACUUGCUUGGCCUUCUGCUGUAUUUAGCACGUAAGAUCCAAACUCUGCCCUGAACAUCAUCAGGAUAUUUUCUCCUGCCAGUUGUUUCUGUCUGGCCAUGUUAUACCUCGCCAUACUUCUGUUGUAUCUUGCCAUUCUACACUGGCCUUUGCAAUGCAGCUCUCAGAUCAGGUGGCAUUGUUAAUCCUGCUAUCUCAGUGACAGAGCUGUUGCCGAGGUGUGAUAUGUUUUGGCCUUCUUUUUCUCCAGGCCUGAUGAUUUCAAGGUGUGCAGUCUGAUGCAGCAGUGCAGAGGGUGCUGCAGCAUCCCAGUUCGAGCCUCAGUGGUGCUGCAUGGCUUCCAGCCCCACCUGCCAGUGCUGGUUUGGCCAUGGUUCUCCUGACUGAUCCCUGCAAGAAUUGGGUUUGGAGACUUAUCUAACGCAUAGAACAUCAGGGCAGCCUGGUCUGUGAGAGGCAUCUGUGCCCACAGCAGGGAUUGGGACUGGAUGAGCUUUAAGGUCCUUUCCAACUCAAGUCACACUGUGAUUCUGUGGAGGUCUCCUGGGCACCAAGGUGGUGAGGAUCAGAAACACGUUGUUGUGGAGGGCUGUAUGAACGCAGGUGAGAGUUACUGAAAAAGAAGCAGCUGAUUUGCACACUAUAUCUGGUUGCACACACCUGCACCAGCACACAAAGGGACAGGGCUGUUUAUCCACAAGUAUAAAGCAGGCACAUUUCAGACUGUGGACUAGCAAUCACCCCCAGCACACUGCCAGCCAAAUUAUGUUCCUCACCACAACUGCAAACACAGCAUGGCCUGUAUCCAGUGUCUUCUCUGCUUCCCUGUCAAACAACUCAAUGGUCUUUCAGUAUUGCCAACAGUCUAUGAGAUGUGGAGGUCUGUUUUAACGAGAUAUGAGCAGAACUUUGUUGUAGUUGUGGUCAAAGCUGCUGGACGGAGCGUUGUUCCAGUUGCUGUGUUUUUGGCAUUUCCACAUGCUUGCUUGAAAUGCUUUACCUUGUGACUGGGUGGACUUGAGGUGAACGUUGACUUGGGCCUGUUGUGCUCAUAGCACAACUCCUUCCUGUAUCUCCCAACUCCUUUAUUUGGGAACGCCUCUUUCCCUCAUGGCUUCUGGUGGGCUUCUACCCAGACACUGCUGACUCUGCACAGAUCCUAAAGUGCACAGCACAUGGCUACAAGCACACUUCUUCACUGAGUCGUAGAAUCACAGAAUCCUUUGUGUUAGAAGGGACCCUCAAAGGCCAUCUGGUCCAAUGCCCCUGUGAUGAACAGGGACACCUACAGCUCCAUCAGGUGCUCCUGUAUCCUGUAUCAGGCCCCAUCCAGCCUGACACUGGGUGUCUCCAGGGAUGGGGCAUCCACCACCUCUCUGGGCAAUCAGUGCCAGUGCUUCAUUACCCUUAUCAUAUAAAACCUUUUUCUUAUACCCAGUCUAAAUCUUGCCUCUUAUAGUUUGAAACCAUUUCUCCUUGUCUUCUUGCAACAGAGCCUGCUAAGGGGUGUUGUUUGGCAAGGUGCACUUCUGCUCUCCGUCUCAGGCCAGCCUUGAGUAACGUGGGUGGCUGGCAAACCUUGGCACAAUGGGACAAGCACGUGGGAGCUGUUUCUCUUGUGUGGGGCUCAUUUAAUCAGGCAGGUCAUUCAGUGAAAGUUGUGCCUUUUAAUCUUCUGACCUCUGUCCCUGUCUUGAGCAGCUUUGCCAUCUGCUCAGAUGUCGUGUAAGGUGACCACACAUUUUUCUCCAAAGACCCAUGUUCCUCCAAAGCUCCUCUUCCCCAACCAGACUUACUGAGCAGCUCAGGGAAAGAAGUUGUCUGGUCCUUGUGGCAUUGAGUUACUUACCAGUUGCAAAAUUAUUUGGACUUGACCCUCUGAGAUAACCCUAUGUGAAAUGUGACUUUUUUGGUCGUGAUUUCCCUGGAAAAUUUGGUGCUCAGUUGGUUUUAUCCUUCAGUGUGGGUCACCUGGCAUCUAGUUUUGCUCUUAGCUUAAGAUGUAACCCCCCAAGCUUUCUUGGGAUGCUUCCUGUUUGGUGCUGCUUGUUUGGAAGUAUUACUGACUUGAGAAGAAGAAAGCUGAAGGUGCAUUUCCACACAUAAGCUCAAGGUUGCCAUGGUCCCAGAUACAUAAACAGACAAAUCCUUAUUUACGGGACGUGCUGCUCUGAAUAUGACUAACUGUAGAAGCUCUCUGGGAUUUGGGUUGUGACAACAGUGUCUGACUGGCAUUGCUUCUGCCAUCGGCAGAUCUCAAAGCACAUAGCAAAUAAGUGUAUUUUCCAUUGAUUGAUGCACAAGAGAGCGCACGCUAUAAAUCAGUGGAGAUGUGGGGCUUGAUCCUGUCCCUGCUGUGUGUCCAGGCUCGUGCUCCUUGUAAGACACAGCAUGGUGAGGAUUUAUCUCUCUGCCUUUCAGCUCUGCACCUCCCUUGGGUCUGUAUGUGUGGUCAUGUUUGUGCAUGCUCAGCUGCCUGCUUGAGCCCCCAGAGGCAGGACUCCUGCAUUUUGUCCCUGGAAACGUGUGGAAAGAUGCCCAUCAGCAAUGCCAGUGAAGGUGAUAGCUGGCCUUUCUGGUCCGAGGCAUUCAUCUUUUGGGGUUCAACAGCUUAUGCUGGUGUGCUAUUAAUUUCAGACUCUCAGAGUUGACAGCGAUUGCUCGAGAGCAGAUGAUGUUUGAAAUAUUGUCUAUGCUGUCAUUGUAACUGAAUCUUUGUUAUUCAGAAAGCCUUGGCUGACUGCUGGGUUCUGUGCUGAACGAAUCUUGCAAUACAAAUAUUUGCCUGUGGAGAGAUGCCUUAUUAUUAAUUUAAAGCCUGACAUAAAUCACAAGCUCAAAAAUGCAGACUUAAGCUUCCUGGACAAAAAUAGAUGUAGCCUCUUGCAUGGGGAGCCGUUCCGAUUAUGCUUCCAUAAUUGGAUCAUGCUGAAAUGGAUACCUUAAAUUUAGUUACAAAAGGCUAACCAGAAAAAAAUGCCAACAAUUUAUCACAGCCACGGUGCUAUAUUUAAAGCUGUCAGCGUUUCCAGGAUAUAAAGUGAUUAUAAAUCCAAGAGAUCUGUAGCCAGCCGUAGGAAUCUGCCUUCGUGCUGACAUUUAACACUGGAGUUCUCCACGCCAGAGCCCCCUGAAUUCGGGAACGUAAUUAAGCUUUCACCUCUUAUUAAUUUCAGGAUAGCUUAUUGCCAAUACAGGCUUAAAUGGAGGCAUAUACUUGAAUGUACUGUUGAAUCAAUGUCCAAAAGCUUAAUUAUUUUUCUCAGUAAUGAAGACCUUGCUGUGGAUUUGAAGUUAGAAGUACCAGAAUGCUGCUGGAGCCAAGAGCCAAUGCCAACAUCCCUACUUACUAAACACAGAAAUAGAGCAUUUGUGUCUCCUAAAAGGACCUAUUAUUUGUUAUUAAAUAAUAUCUUCACUUUUGCUUACUGUGACCUCAGGUGAAUGAGAUCUUUUAGCUGCUCAAGAGCUGUAUAAUUGAAAGAUGUCUGCUUGUUUCAGAUAAUCCCAAAGGAGCCUGGCAUUUGGAAAACUGGCCAAGAAAUGAGGCAGCCAGUAAUGCUUAUGCCUAUGGCUCUGCUUUCCAUUGUGUUUUCAUUUCCUACCUUCGUUCCUUUUCCCUUAAGUGACAUCAAGCUUGUGGAAUGAACUCACUUAUUAGUAGAGUAAGGGAUAAGCAAAAAAGAUGCAAUAAAAAAGAAAUUACUUCUAAACCUCCCCUGCCAAGUAUGUGAAUCUUUCAGGAAACUAACACAUGGCCCAGCUCUGCAAAUCACUGAAGAAUGUGAGUUGUUCCUAUUGGAGUAAACAGCACUCAGCAAGUCUGCUGGGAUAUUACGCUGGGGAAGUGAGGCCUCAAGCCCUAAACCAGUACAGAAAAUCUUCCUGGGGCUCCUAAGGUGCUCCAUGUGACUCAUGGCUGCUGCUUUUGGGCCACGCUUCUGUCAGCUCCUACAACAUCAUUUGCACUGCACAGCCCCUGGGCCAGAUCGGCAUUCAUCUUGUGGGUUUGGACUGUGAGCUGAUGGAGAUGGGCUUUCAUGGCUGAGGGCCAGCUUCUGUCCCCAGGUUUUAGCAGCUUCCAGGUAUCACCUAUCUGCCAUGUUCCUGUUUACAGAAGUGCUGUCUGAUGGGCAGAGCCAACCUGCUGUGCUCCAGUUUGUGCCCAGUGCCUCUUGGCCUCCACGUGAAAAUAGCAUCUCUGAAAAUAGCAUCUCAGUGCUAUUGCAUUGCAGGAGGUCAUGCAGAAGACUGCUUUAUUCCACCAACUGCGUUUUCAUACAGAGUUUGAGAGAGCAGGUACCAGAUUUAUGAAGGCUCUGUGUUAGCUGUGGCUCGUUAUAAAGCCCUGUACCAGCUCUGCCACCAGCAAGCCGCUGGGGACACCACCAAGUAAAUGCCACUGUGUGACCAAUGCUUGCUGAGAAGGCUUUGAGGGACCCCCAGGAACACCCAUGUGCUACCCUUAGUGGGACACAGAGCAGCAGGCUCUCUUGGGAGAGCUGCAGAAGGCACUGCGAGGUCUUCACUUGACUUCAUUGGCAGCCCAUCUUUGCACCUCGGAGGGAAUUCUUUUCCAAGGAAUGGAUUUUGGAGGGAAAUGUUCAGCAAUCAGUAUUUCCAAAGCUGAGCUUGGUAACCAAGAGAAGGAAGGUACAUCAGAAAAUGCCUGAAUUCAUUUCUUUGCUGAUGAGAACUGUUUCACAGGGAGAAAGAGGCAUGGCUGUGUGCAAGGGGUGUAAUUGGGGCAGAAGUUGUGCAGGGUGGUGGACUGGGGGAAGACAUCCUACGGGUGAAGCUCUGCUCCAUGGGUCGUGUAUGUGCUGUGUUGCAUUUCUCUGCUGCUUGUUUCUGACAGCAGGCAGAAGUGGGGUACCCAAGCAGAGUUUAGUUCUGAAGAAGCUGGUAGGAGAAAGCUAGCGCAAGUUUUCAUUGAGAAGCUUUAUUUCAAUUGGAAAAAUGGGGUCUCAGCUAAACCAAGCUGAAACUGAAAGUGUCUGGGAGGUUUUUGUCUGUCUAGCAAGCAGUACAAGUAUUAAUGUAGUGGAAAGAGAGCCAAACCAGAAAAUUGUAUGUGCCCUUAAGUAAAAAUGUUCUCAUUCUUCAGCCCAAACUUAAAACACAUCAGCAGAAAAAUGAAUGCUAUUAUUUAAUGGCAUCUGUAGCCUUCAUUUUCUACUUUCCUUACAGAACCAAAGCCUAAGCAGACCACAUCUCCUGUGUCAUGUCUAGACUGUGACUUGCGGGCAGUAAGGUUGUCUGCUACCAUUGUAUAUUGAACAAGUACUCGCAGUACUUUCACCCAAGGAAGAUGCUUGGUCUCUGGAGAAAUAUAAGGUCACAGUGAUUUGCAAUUGAUAGAUACACCACAGGGAAAAUUUCUUUGGCAUCUCUCUUACAAAAUGACAAAAGCAACAGAUUUUCUUUCCUCUACAAUCCUAACUUGCUGGCUUCUUUUAAAAUCUCAGUUUGCCAGCAUGCUGCAUGCAGGAUGCCAACAGUAAAUGUAGAAAGGGGUUGUUUUUGAUGCUUCAGUCACAUUUAUGUUCCUAAUGAUUGUUUCUUGGACAAAGUAAAUAAUACUUAGUCAAGCCGACAUCCUAACUAACUAGAGUUAAUAGCUAUAAGGAAUGUUCUCUCUGCUAAAACACCCAAUGAGAUGUAUGCCCCAAACCAUCUAGACAGUGCGGAUCAGCUUGGCAGCCAACCAAAGUGAGGAGACCAAAUGACUUCCAAGUGGCUGAUAACCACAGAGAGUUCAUGAAACCUUCUUCUAGAAGGAUCUUUGCACCAUAAAAACGGCUUUCAGGAUGCUGUUUAAAGGGAGGUUGCUUGGUGCUGCUUUGGUUUUGUCCACGUGGCUCUGUGAGCUUUGAAGUUGUCCAUCCUCCUCCCAUGUGCCUGCUCUCGUUUUGACCUUCCUCAUACAAAAAUAGCUCUUUUUAGUCACAGAAAAUAUCAAAGGUGUCAGACAAUGGCUGGGUUCUUGUUCUCAUUUAAAUGGGUGGGAACGUUGCCAUGAUCCUGGAGGGGAACGUGAUUAGGGCCCUGUAACAGACCUCAGCCCAAGGAGCAGAGCAGUAGGAUCUGAUAAGCUGUGGUGGCUCAAGAGGAUGGAGAGGGAGGGGAGCUUUCUCCUUGGGUACACAUGAGCAAAUCCAGUGUCCAUUGGUGGCCUGUGGGGCAGGGGCUGUAAGCCCGAUCCAAGCUCAUGCAGGCUGCAGCAGAGGACAGGAUCUCCAAAAUGAGUGUUAUUGAACUGGCCAGAGCCAAAGCAACAACGUCCCAACCUACAGGCUCUAUACAACUCAACCUAUGGUUCCUACCUCCUCCUAACCCACAGGUCCUACACCCUACCGACCUACAUGCCUUUCUUCAUUCAGCCCAAAGGUCCUAUGCCCACCAUGUCACACCAGUGUUGUCAUCUUGCCGCCUAAUAAUGAGGCAGAUACUGCGAAGGCCCUACAUGUCUAAAAUGUUGACUUUUGAGGUUUGGAGAGGUCUUUGGGAGGGGGCAGUUUUCUGGGUUAAAAGAGAUCAGCUCACCUUCCAGACCUUUCCUUACCCAGGACCUUGGUCACAAAACAGCCACAAAAGUUUUUCCAUUAGAAAAAAAAAAUCCCUUUAGAGCCAGUGGCUGGAAUUACCGCUCCCAACCUGACUGCCAAUUUCUCUGCUGGAGUUCAGGCUCCAUCAGAAGAAACUUGCUCUCCUCUUUCAAUUCACAGCCCUCCCUACGUGUAGAACAGUUCGACAUUAGAGACGAUGAGACAAAAAUAAGUGGAGGAAGCUAAGCACGGGAACAUAAUCAAAGGCAUCAAGCCUUUUAAGAUAGCGUCUGUCCUAAUAUUUACAGAAUCCCUCCAAAGCCAAGAGACUUCUGCUAGACUUCACAGACUCAAUGCUGUUCUGUUCUUGUUUAUGGCUCUGGUGCCAAAGUAAAUUGAGGGGCUGAUAAACACUGCGCACCCUGCCAUGUUCUGUCAAUGGACAUCUUCCUUGGAAUGAAGUGCCCAAACAACAUAAAAGUGUUUUAAUUCUGUUUUAUGUUCUCAUCUGUCUCCUAAACUGUUAUUUUCAGAUUUAUUCUGGAACACCAACUCAGUGGGACUUGGUUUCUUUUCCCUGCCUUUCCAUCACACUGAUAAGCUAUCAUGCCAACCCGUGUGCAGAGUACCUCAUUGGCACCAUUCUCAUGUGUUUGGCUUGCAACUGUCCCUCACGUGGAAAUUUACUCAUUUGAAUUCAGAGCAAGAUGCAGGCCUAGGAAUGGCUGCACUCAGAAAUUAAGGGGAGCUUUCACUGCAGCCCCUUGUCUUGUUCCGUGUCUGGACCCUAAUUGGAGAAAGGAAUUGUGGACCAGGAGAUGGAAUUUGGCAGGACUCAAAAAACACAGGUUCGCCCCAGGGCUGUAACGUUCUGGGUUGCUGCUGCCUAAGCACAGCGAUUAGUGGCUGUCAUCCCACCAGUUCACUAGAAUACAAUAGAAGCUCUCUAAUUGUUAAUUAGAGCUAAUUGCUCACCAGGAAGGAACUCAGGCUUUAGCUAAUGAUCAGAGAUAGCUCAAGGCUCCUGGAUGGAGGCUGGUAGCCCCGAGGCAGGGUGCCUGCAAAAGGGCUGCUUUGCUCACCCUCCUCCUCCAGCAUCUGGGCCAGGUCUAACCUAGGCUGUCCUAGGCUAUUACCUCCCCAUGCAUCAGACGGGCACCCCACAGGGGCAGCGUUUGAUGAGAAAUUCCACCAAAUCCCUUUUCCUUGCAAGAAUGUCAUGCCAGGGAGCUCGGAUAUGUGGUGGGAAGAGAGGACAGAGGUGUGUCCAGUAGGUGUCUGGCACUGCAUUUCACAGAGCAACUGCAAGCAGGAGGUGAGUUGGGAUGAUGGGCUGACUUACUAUGGAAGAGAACGCAUACAGCAGAAACCACAGCAUGAAAGGAAGGCUGGGGGUAAGUGUACGGGGUCAGCAGGGUUGGCUCUUGUGGGUUUGUUUCUGCAGGGUGGAAUGCAAGCAAUUUCUUGGCACUGUUUUUCCACAGGAUAUUAGCAUUAUAAAAGGGAGCUGCCGAGAAGGAAUAGUUAAGAUACAUCGCUGUUGGCUCUGUUCAUCAUCUCCACGAUUUUUUGUUUGUUUGUUUUUUGUUUUUUGAGUCUGCUCCGUCCUUUUCCAGCUCGUGUAGCCUCAGGAACGCUGCAUUCAGCAUGGCAAAACCUCUUGUUCCUCAUGCCCUCCCUUCCAGCCCCUGCUGUCUCAGGGCAUAGAGGGCAUCUCCUCCUGUAGCAGUGUGCUCCCUGAAGGAGGUGUGCCACCUGAAACCUGAAGGAAAGGGCUUCUUGGCAAGGACGAAACAGCAGAUCGGUGCCUUCUUUCCAUCCCUGACAUGUAGGAAGAGAUCCCAAAUGGGUCUCUGUGUUUGUUCUGGCUCUAGUUUGCUUUAGGUAUUUAAGGUUUCAGCAGCCUAAUGAGCCUGUGGUAUCCACGGAAUGCAGGCAUGGACCGAGAAUCAAUGGAGGGAUGCUGAAGGAGGGGAAAUAAUGUGAAUGUGCCCCUCCUUUCAGUCUCUCUUCAAAGCUAUACUGUGGCUCCCGGGGAUUUUGCUGUUUGGGAGGUUUUUGUCUUUCCUAUAGCAAGAAGGAUUUGACUUCCCCGCCCCACUUCAUCCUUCAUCCCCCCAUUUAGAUCACGACAGCUGGGUGGUUUUUGGGGGGUAGGAAAGCACCUCUGUGCCUCCUUUCACAGCAAGGUGAAAAUCUUGCUGUUCGUCAAGCCAAUGUGGAACCUCUCCAUCCUGAGUGGAGGAGCUUUCUGUCAUUAGAACAGAUUCACCUACACUUCAAGGCUCAAGUAAUGUUUGGUACAAAUUCAUGCAACAACUUGGAAGAACCUUCUUUUCCCUCCCCUCAAGGUCAUACGCACAAGAGCUGCCCUGGGAAAUCACACCGUAGUCAAAAAUGAAGUUGGAAAAAUAGCUGUUUAUGAUCUUCCCCUCCCACUUGGUCAGUCUCAGAUCCAAACCAGAUUAGAUUAAAUUGUACCAAAAAGCAUCCAGAUUGCACGGUUGUACAGUGGCCAGGAAUGAAUGAGUUUUCUUGAUCCCAGGUCCCCACUGCAAUUUCUUCUGCAUUCCUCUGGCCACCCACAUACACUGAGCAAUGAAUGCAUCCCAUUUCCAAGACCACCAGGAGAAAAGUGAAUGUUUACCAACUGAAAAUUGCCCUUCAGCCUGUUGGAAAGGCAUUUUUUCCUUGUUGGGAAAAACGCUGCUGUAGCAGAAAUGGAAGAUGGCAGGUCUCAUCACACCGCAAGGACCCCUGCAAAGAGAGCAGGAAUGCAGCACCUACAUCCCUCUCUAAGCCUCAGCCUGUGGGAUAAUCACCUAUAAAUUGUCUCCUCUGACAACUUCUAAGUGCUUCCAGCUAUGAGUGACCCAUUCAUUAUUGUGCUCAGGUCACAGAUAUUUAGACAUUUACAAACAUAGUUAAGAUCCCAAUUGCAGUCUUCUCCUUUUCAGGCUGAACAGUUGCAUACAGCGACAGUUGGAGUUGUCCUCCAUAUGCCAUGUUGUUCAGAGGUGUUGCAGGAAAGGGUGAAAUAACUGAAGGUAUCAAAGAGCAGCUGAUAAUUACAGGCUCCCUGUGAUCUCUGGGACCUGGCAGUGAGCACAGAAAGUAACACAGCACUUGGUUGAGUUGUAGGAGGAUGAGGUUCAAGUCUCUGCUCCAGUGCAGACUUCUUGCUCCAUUCUGCAAUUCCCUGUCUGUGAGAUGACAUUACACUGUGCUGGAGGAACAAGGCUUAUCCUGGAGCAGGAAUAAGCAACCACGUGAUGAGGUCCAGGUUGGAGUAAAUGUAUCCCUCCACUGGUAAAUACUGUGCAAGGGGGGGGAAAAGGGCGUAAAUGAAAUUUGCAAUUCUAAGAGAUUUAAAGCAGCUUUAGAAAAGCCUGUCUGGUGUAGGAGCACUUCUUCAUAGCAGAGCAGGGCAGCUGCCCUGCCAUGCCAGGUGUUGAGCUCUGCUGCCAGAUAUGCACCCUGCAUGCUGGGCCCUCAUCUUAGCCUGGCUUCUGCAUAUGAGAUGGCCAUCCCAUCCCAUAAGGUUCCUUUUUAAUAGAGGGGUUUAAGGAAAAUAAGAUCUGUGCUCUGUGGUCCUUGGACAUUACUUACUUCUACUGACAAAUGCCAGCUAUUGAGAUUGUUCCAAGUUACAGCUGACUCAUAUGUCUUUCCCCAUAUGUUGUAAAGUAAGCUGAGUUUUUUGGGUCCAGUGUCUUCUGAAAGACUGGGAGAGCAUGGGAGAUAUGCUGGAGCUUUGCAGUAGCUGCAGAAGCAAGACAAGAAGAGGGCAAUCUCAGUAACAGCAUGCAGCUUGAUGGAAACACUGCAUGAACACUGCAGGGAUAAAGCAUUCCUCGCCAUAAAAAGGAUGACUACAGAUUUGCCAGCAGAUCAAAUCGCCGCUGAGCUUUCAAAGUGGCCAAAGUGGUGGCAAGUCGGACUCCUCAGGCCAUGCAACCAAUGUGAUGAGUGAAAACACACAACCCUUAGAAAGGAAUGCUUUGGGUAAAAAUCUCUGGUCUUUAAUGCACUCAGAUGGUAAAUGAGAUAACAGAUUUGAUCAGCAGUCAGUGGUUUUAUGGGUAGCGGAUAGUGACGUGAGCAAUGAUGUCAGAUAAGUUCAAAACUCCAUUGAAGCAUGCCACUAAUCAGCAGAGAUGAUUGAAUCUAUGCUUUAAAAUAUAUAAUUGCCCCCAGAUGACCUAAGCUCUCUGCUCGGUAACGGCUGGUGCAGCAGAAGCUGUAGCAGGAGGGAGGCUGCUUAUUGCUAAGGGGGUGUUUUGAGUUCGACAGCUCUGGCAGCUGUCUCUUGAGACUGUUUUACAAAACCUUGGGAUUAAUGAAAAUGCCUCUCAAACAGGAUGUGGUGAUCAGGGAUGUAAAAUACGGACCUGAUUUUUUUUUAGUUUUUUUUAGAGCUGAGAGAAGGCAAAUGGUUUGAAAGCCAUUGGUCCAUACCUGGUAAGGUGACCUGAAGGCAUCUCAUGACAUUUGCCAGGUCUCAAAGGGACAUCCCAUUCUUUCCUGUCCAUGGAGGGUCAUAGCUCCUUUCUGGAGCUGGGCAAGUUCACCAGCAAACCUAGAUCUGUGGUCCCAGUGGUCCAACCUGUCCCAGAGCUGUUGGACUCACUGGUUGAGGUCUGAUUUACAUACGAGGUACAAUUUAUAACAUUUAUAUAACCAAUAACCAUUUACGUAUGUUUUAAUGAGCAUAUUCAGAAAGCCCAUGAGUCCUUACUCUACUAAUUACAAAAUGGUUCGGGUCUAAACCACCCUUUACCAUAAAUCAUUUUCUUGUUCUGGAUUUAAAGUAGGUCAGACCUGACUUUUCAAGCAGUCUAAACAAAUAAAUAGCAUAAUAGUGAAGCGAAACGUGCCACUGAUCUGUAUGCAAACUGGUGAGCCUCAGGCCUUACAAAUGAUUUACUAGAAAUUUCACUGAAGUCUGCAUGGAUGAAUUAUGGAUGGCAAAGAGUGGGAAUGAAGUUUAGCCUUGAAAAGGAGAAAAAGGAUGGAGUGUAACAGAUUUCCUACCAAAUUUAUUCUUUUCUGAAGUUUUAUGACACUGGGACAUAACUCCUGAUAUACUUUUAAAGUGGUGUUUUUCUUCCAAAACAAGAUUGCACUGUAGAAACACUUGUGAUAACCUGUUUUCAUCACAGCUGCCACAACAGCCACGUCAGCUUUUUCAACAGCACAGCACAAUGUUAAGCACCUCAGGUGGGGGAUAUGGGCACGGUGGACAUGGGCUUUUCACAUCACUGGUUUGGUCCUACCUAACCUUUUCCACAUUCUGAUAUGCCCAAGAAGGACCAUCUGCCUCUGUUCAGUCAGAAGAGCCAUCUGCAGAGAAACCAAAUGUUUUAGUGCACAUUUUUAAUUCCUUUAAGUACCUCCUGCUAAAUAAUGAAUGCAUCUCACAGGCACGGCACCUCUUUUCCUGCUCAGCUGUGGCUUUUGUGAGGCAUGAAGACGGGCCCAUCAAGCAGAAGCAUUUGGGCACAUAGAAUCACAGAAUCAUAGAAUGGCUUGGGUUGGAAAGUACCUUAAAGCCCAUCCAAGUCCCAGCCUCGGCCAUGUAUAGGGUUGCCCCCACCAGCUCGGGCUGCACAAGGCCCCAUCCAGCCUGGCCCUGAGCACCUCCAGGGAUGGGCCUCCACAGCUCUGGGCAGCAGUGCCAGCACCUCACUGCCCUCUGAGUGAAGAAUUUCCUCCUUCAGUUGUGCUAACAGCCCCAAGUUGAGGCUUUCAUUGAUUAACGUUGCCUGCUGCUGGGCCGGUCCUUGGUGCUUGGCAGAUUCCUUCAUCUGCCAUUUCUAGGUGUCAUCAUCAAUGACUGAGGUAGAUUUGUAAGGACCUAAGUUCAACCGUUGCAGCACUAAGCCAGGCUUGGAGAUACAGGAGCACAAAUGAAAUGCAUCCUUCCCCAGACUCGUGGCUGGCUAGAAAGGGUUUCUGCUCCAUCAGAGGCCUGAAGGAGGCAGCAGCCAUGGAGAAGCCCUGCAGGAGCAGGCCCUGGGCUUGUGCCAAGCCUGGUUUGCCAGUGAUGGCAACUGGUGAUCUAUUUCACUGUCCUUAUCAUUUUUUCACCAUAUUUACUACUCCUGUCCUUCAGAGGAGGGACAGUGAGAGCGCAGCACGGUUUUCAGCCCAAAGCUUUCAUCUCCAUUACGGCUAUGGGGUACUGCACUGUGGGGCAGCCAGGCUCUGCCUUACUGCUACCACUCAGUGCCUCCCAACGCCCAGCUCCAACCACUACAAUGCUGCCUUCACCACCCAAGAGUAAGGCACAGCCCUGCAUGUUAAAAGCUACGAUCAAAGCCCUUCAGUGCUCUGUGCUUUCCUGUUUGUCCCAGCAAAAGAGCUGCUCUGACCAGAUAGGGAUGGGGAACGUGCUCUCGGUGAGGUGAGAGCCCUUUGAACUGAGGACUGCGUGGCAUAAAAAGCGCAUCUUUGUUUCUGCAGCCCUCCCUCCUCCAAACCCAGGAAGAAAUAACUCUGACAAAAGCACUGCUGCUGGUUGCAAAGAAGCAUCUGGGGCAUGGCUGCCUUAUGCUUAUGGUUUUUCAGGCUGUGCUUCUGUGCCAUUUGAAGCCCUGGAGGAAGGACAGCAGCCACACACAGCCCAGUGUGCUUACAGCCAGCCUGUCUGUCCUUCUGAGCUCCUGUACCCUCUGAGCUCCUGAGGGUGCUGUGGACGAAAACACCCCUUUCUGCUGAGAGAACAGUUCUGGAUCCAAGUUAUUCUGCUUCCAGGCUUUUCAUUACCAGUUUGUAUUUGGCCAGCCAGCACCAAAUCCAGCCCCGCAGCAUCUCUGCUGACCCCGGGGGUGAGUUUGUCCUGAGAUGUUUCUAUCACAAAGCCAUCAAAACCAAUUUCCUCUGAUCUGACUGACUUGAAAUCCCAGUGGAGGCAAUUCAUCUACUGCUGGAUGUGCAAUAUUACAGCAAAUAAACAUCAGAGACAGGAAUGCCUUGCUGGAGAUGAGAAAUCUGGUCCUGUGAUGAGAGGUUAUGAACCUUUCUUAUCUUAUCUGUUGGGUUUUGUAAUGAGAAACCUGGCGGAGCAGCAGCGGCAGCUCAUGCUGAACAGCCUGUUCCCAAGGCCCUUGGGGAGCACAGGGAUUUCCAAUGGGCAGCAGCUGGGAUGGGGACAUUGGUCCCAUGCUGCUGAGGCCAUUUGGUGCAGCACGAUGGGACUCGUGUCUUCCAGGAUCAAAGCCAUGUCACCAGGGCUGGCUGCUGGCACCACAGUGCAUGCCCUCGGCCUUGUUCCCUUCAUCUCAGAGUCAUAGACUCAUAAAGGUUGGAAAAGACCUCUAAGAUCCCCAAGCCCAACCCCAGUCCACCCCACCAUGCCCACAAGUGCCACAUGCCGUGGUUCUGGAACACCUCCAGGGACGGCAACCCCACCACUCCCUGGGCAGCCUGUGCCAUUGCAGUACUGCUCUUCUGGAGAAGAAAUUGUUCCUAAUACCCAACCUGAAAUCUUCUGCUCAUACUCUCCUUAACUUGUCAGAAUACCGUGGCCCCUCUGAGGUGCCCAUGUCGAGCACACAGGAUAUGGAGCUCAUCUUCACACGAUGAGAGACCCCAGACAAGAAGGAUAUAAGUGGUUCUAUGACUGUCUUCUACCUCUUCUUUCUGCCGAUGGUAGCUGCUGCUCUGCUAUAUGGCUGCUGAGGAAGCUAACCCACAGAGAUGAACCAAUUUGGUAAAAAUAAGAAGAAAACUGGUGGCAGAAGCAGGACGGUCCCUGGUCCCCUGGCACCACACCGCUUUGAUGGCAGCUGUUGGUACAGCAGCAAGGAGGAAUUGUGGGGGCUUAAGUGAUUUAACUUCAAGAGCACAGCAGCAAGAGUGAAAUCCACUUAUACAGGCUAAUUGAUAGUGAAUGAUUCCUUAAUUAGAAAUUAAGACCUGUCCCCUAACUUAAGAGGAGGAACAGGACCAACGUGCCAAUGAGCUGAGGGGUAUAUUUGUGACUGUGGAUUUUCCUUUGGAGAUGCUCUCAUCCAUUAACUUUUCAUGACAUAAAUUUGUUUGCCUUAAUAUAUCCAGUUAGAAGCAUUUUCAGAUGCAUUAUUUAAGGCCUGAAAAUAAAUACUGGAUGCUCAGGGUGUGCUUUGUGAAAGCUCAGCGCGCCUUGCCUUCUCACUCAAUUAUUGAUUGUGUUUUCCACUGCAUUUGAGACGCUCCAGCGUGCACAGGGGAACAUCCUGCCUUGUUUACUUGCUCAUUCUAUUUCUCAAAGUCUCAAGAAACUCAUUCGGCGAUGGAUUUGGGGCUUCUAUCCCCACUCUGUAUUUCACCUGUGUCACAGCAGAGAAUUUAUUUCAGAUGCUGCAUCAGCGAGCCCCAGCCUCAGGAAUUUCUCACCACAGGUACUGAUUGGGCAACAGAAUGAGAUCCACAUGUUAUUAGGAAGGGAGAUACCAGUGAUGAUGCAUUUCCACCACCAAUGGCAAAGGUGAGCGUUGCACGCUUGCUGGCUGGAUGAGCACAGGAAAGGUACCGCCACCCCUGCAGCAUCCGAGGUUGACUACAAGGCCUAGCAGAUGCUUUUCUCACAUUAGGGACUUUUGUGUCUCUCUCUGCGUGGGCUUUCUGAUGUUUAAUAAGGCAUGAGCUUCUCUUGCAUUUUUUCUUUCCUCGCUGAGGCAUCUGUGGGAUCUGUCUUCUCAAGGCAGAUGUCAUUUGAUAUAAAUCGUUGCCAGGAUAGACAUAUCCUUGGUAUUGCCACACUUGUGUUGGGUUUGAUUGGCAUUAGCCUGGAGGCUCCUCAGGGAGGACAGUAGCCUGCCAGCCAGCUCGGUCCUCACCUCCUGCAGGGGAUAGAGGAGUGGUGAAAGCUUGGGGAGGUUGAAUAGAGGCAAGACGUGAGAGCCGAGUCAGUCAGAUUUGAGGAGGGGAAUGCAUUUGCACAAACAUCCCAUCUGGAAGGCUGCAAAUUGGCAGGUAUAUCUGGGGAAUGUUUGGGACCAUUUGGGGAAUGGUCCCUGGGCUACCAGGCUCCUGGCUCCUGGGAGACACCAGUGCCCAAGAAGUGCUCGCCCUCAGCUUGCUGUCAGGAGGUCUGCCUAAAAAUUGCUGCUUGGCUGUCUUGCUUUGCAGCUGAGACUCGACACAAAUGGCACAGCUAUGGGAAAGGGUUCUGCUCCUCAUGAAAUGCUUUUUCCCAUCAAAAGCUGCUUUGACAGAUGUUUUUUGAGCAAUGGGAUGCUGCAGCAUUGCCCGAGACAGGUCUGAGUAAGGGAUGAGUGUUGUCAGAGGCGAAAGUAAUGCAGAACCUGUUUCAUUUGUGUGGCACCGGGGAAUUUCACAUCCCAGCUUCUUCCAGCGUGGCAAAUUGGAGCCACAGAGCUGGAAAAUGCAGCGGGCUUGCAGCCCUAAUUAAUAUUGCAAACAAUCUGGGAACGAGACGCCAUCAGACAGGCUCCAGAUAAGUCCUUAACCUGGCCGCCAGCACCUUUGCAAAACCCUGGGCUAAAGCCAGUGGGAAAUUCACCACUGACUUCAAACAGACCCGCGUUGCACCCAAAGGCCUCCUCCUCCAGCCUGCUGCUCCUGUGCCAUGCCAGGUGGGCACAGGGGGCACGCAGGAAGGGUCCUGCCAUAGGGGGACCACAUGCCAUCUUUGGGAUGCUCUUUGGGAUGCAACCAGCACGUCCCAUCUGCAUCAUAUCUGUCUGCUUUAGUAACCCUCAGGAUCAACCUGGGAUGCCUGAGACCCGGCAUUGCUUCGCCAUAGAAAAGAAAUGCAAAUUGUGGACUCAUAAAAGAGGGAAGAAAGAAAAAUGUAAACCCGAGUGCUUCCUGUUCUCUUUUUCAUGCUUACAAGAAAGCAAUUCAGGCUUGGCGCUUGCAUUUAUUAAACAAAAAAUUCUUGUGACUUCAUUUCUUUCCAGAGCAGUCAACCAAACUGCUUGAUAUGCCGUGACCUUGAAACAUAAUGAAGCAUUGAAAAGCAAAUCCGGUGGUACAGAAAGGAAGUGUUUUACCAUGCAAGAGGAGGUACUGAGGUCCAAGUGAGAAACAACUGAGCAGUUAUCUCUGAUGGCUUAAAUCUCAUCCAGGCAGGGCUUGCACAAGACAACCUUUGUUAGGAGUGCUGUACUCUGGGCAAAGUGUGGAGAGCUCUGCUGAGGAGCACCUGGCAUUUGGUGUGCAUCUGACAUUUAGCAUCGUUUUGCAAUAGUCUAAUUCAUCACGUUACCCUUUGCCCUUGUUAGUGUGUUAUAACCCCAAGGACAUGGCUCUGCCUGGUGGCAGUGACCAGUGCCAAACACCAUCUGAUCUGGCCACCACUGCAGUGUCCUUGGGGUAUGGGAACAGAGAAUGUCCUGCACAGGCAAGAGAGGUUUGCAUGUGUUUGUACCUCCCUGGGGAGGGACCCUGCAUCUCUGCCUUGGAGAUGGUAGGAGAAAACAUCUCUUGAUGGAUUUGCGUUAAUUGCUAAUUAAUUGUUAAUUACUGCACAGAGUAUCUGCGCAGCUCUGACAUCCAGAAGAUGCUAUACAAUGCAAAAUCAGAUCUCCAGCAUUUCAUAUUGGGUAAGCAGCCACAUACCCUAAAAUACAGUCAAGGUCGCAAAUUGUGUUGCUCUGCUAGAUGGGAACAGUGUGACACAGCUGUGGUAAAGUGAUGGUGAAGGUUUUGGCCUGAGCAAAACUGCCCAGGACAAAGUGCUAACUGUCGUGGGCUGGAUGCUGUGUGGUAGAGAGGACCCUGGGCUGCAGGUAGUAACAGGAGGUUGAGAAGCUGGGGGAUGCCACAGGGAUGCGCAGCUUUGGCACCCAGCGUUAGCUUUGGGAAGAGAAUGCAGUCAUAAAUCAUCCUCACAUGUCCCUGACAGCUGCUGUGACACUGCUAAGUGGGCAGGUGCUUGGACAGGCCUUGCUCUCAUUACUGUGUGAUUUAUGGGCCUGAUCUCUCCUGAAUUUCUGGACUAAUUCCUCACUCCUCUUCGCACGCACAUCUAAAGGCCUAGGACUGCCAUUUCUCCUGUAUCUCUUGACACCUAAGCCCUCUGCAAGGCAGACAGCAGGGAGCCAAAGGGGUUCACAGUUUUAUCCUCUACUUGCACCUGGUUUCCCUGGGAUGAAUUUGCAGAAAAUGAGGUUUAUAUCAGGUGCAUUCAUCCCUUGGGUUCAAAUCUGAAUUCCCAUGGGGGAGACAGGUGAACUCAACAGCCAGCCUUCAGGCCAGAACGUAUCCAGAGGCAGCUGGGGCUCAAGGGGCUGGGAAGGAUGACAUGAGCUGGUGAUGCUAGCUGGCUGUCACGCUGCUUGCAGUGAGGUGAAAAUGACUGUGGGCAGCAGAUCUGGCAGAUCAUCACAUUCAUUGGUGCUGAUGAUGGGAAACAGCUGUUCCUAGCAGAAGUCGGUGCAAUCACCGUUUCAAUUAACCAUAUUGAUUAAUACAGCAGCUCAGCAAACAUCCUAGAUGAGGCUGCCUGCCACCAAAGACGUGAAAUUACCGUGCACCACUCUGGCUCAAUGAGGCUGAAACAGGCACCUGUUUUAUCGUGCUACUACGUGAGAGGUGGAAAAGGUCUAGCAGGGAUUGGAAACGAGUAGACGACAACAUGUUGCUCCCCACGUCUCUGACCCAGAGAAGAUGCGAUGCUCUUUAGAUGUACAGGAGGAAUUAGGUCGAUAGGAGAAAGGAUGGCUUUGAGCCUCCAAGGGACACAGAGGGCAUCCUGAAGUCCUCCUUAGUUGUAAAGCAGGGAUUUCCCAUUGGCUGGGCACUUUUUCCCUAAAGAUGAUAAAGCAGACGCACCUCAGUGGUUAGCUGUAGAUAGAGCUGUCACUGAGCCGUGGCUUUUUUUGCAGCUUCCGUCAUUCUGUUGCCAGGAGAAUAUCCAUCAUGAACAAAAGCUAUUUUGUUUUGUGCAGUUGGACUCAGGGAGGGGGAGAAAGUCUGCACAGGAAACGGCGGCAUUAACUUGGAGGUUGCCACCUUGCCAUUGGGUUUGGCCUUACCAAUGGGUUUGGCCAGUUGGGGCUGGGGCAAUGAACAGGAAUUACAAGGGACUGCCUGGCUCAGAGUGGAAGGAUGAGGAAAUCUGACAAGGAAAAGUAUGCUGCUUGCUGGAAAUGGGUGAUUAACACCAAAGGGUUUGCACAGCAGAGGCUAGGGAGCGCCUGCGGCACAAGGCUGGGCUUCCCUUAUCUCCCACCUCUUUGCUUUCUGUUGUUCAUUCAUCCCAGCAGCCAAAGGAUUUAAAGGCACACAGUAGGCCCUGUCAUUUGCUUUGUAUACUUCCUCACACAGCUUAAAAAAGUAAGCUCUGUUAUUAGUAGGAAGCGAUCACCACCUGGUUGGGUGUUCACCUUCACCCCACAAACACGGGCCAAUUGCAGGGGCUGGGAAGGGGAGCAGAAAGCCACAGAAAUGCAGGCCUAUGAGCCCUCCAUGCUUCCCUCCCAGAUUUACUAAGACAGGGGCACACUUUGGUGGGUAAUUGGUUUUGAAAUGAGAUCAGGCCUGCAGGAAAGUCAUACAUACAAAAUAAAUCUCAUCUGAACCAUUCACCGAGUUUAUACCAGCUGUAAAUCAGAGUCCCCUGACUGACCGAACAGCAUUCAGACACCUGUAAGCACAUGCUGUGUUGGGGAUGCAAAAGCUAAGGAGCCCUGCUCACCUGGCAGCCAGCAACAGCCUGCCUCCCAUGGCCAUAGGAAAAGAUCCAUUUUGCUACAUCACAGUCCAAGAGGGACAUCUGAACCUGCCAGCUGCUAAGGCUUCCUAUUGCCUACCUACAUCAUCACUCAUCAGUGUGUCUUUAAUUUGCAGCGAGGGAGUCAUUGGCCUGGAAGAGCCCACCCCAGGGAAGUUGCUGGGCUCGCCACACUAACAGAGCACUAUAAGGCAUAGCUUGGAAGCAAAGCACUCCCUUGCACAGCUCCAGGAAGCAAUCAAUAGCAUUGCACAGGGAGCAUGAUUUGCUGGACAACUAUCAACGUUCACAAAUAAUGGAAAACAAGCUCUCUCCAACACGCUCCAGUGCAGAGCAACAGGAUGCUGCAAAUGGGGUGGUAGCAAGGAGCCAGGAUUGCAUGGUGAGCUUGGAGCUUGGGUUGGUGAGCGCUCAGCAUGCCCUCCCCUCUGCAAGGUAUUGGUGGCAUUGGGUCAGCAAGCCACCACUUCCUUCCAGGAGCUUCCUUCUGCCAGGGAUUUCCAGCCCAGCUGCUGCUGGCACUGAGGGGUUCACCCCCUAUCUGCAAUUUCAAAGGCAGCAAUUGAGCAAAGGUGAGCCCUUCUCUUCCCAAAAGAGGCAGAUGCACUCUCGUAUCUGAGUCAUGGGGAUGUUAUACUGGAUCAGCCCUUCUGUGCACUGCUUAGCCAAAAUGAGACGACGUCCCACUCUGCCAGGUUUUCUGUAAGUGCUCGAGAAAAAAAAACAAAAAAAACCAUGGGUAAAUGGACAGAGAAAGUCUUAUAUGAGCUUUAGCAUGGAAUUCAUCCUAGAUUAUUUCCAGCCCAAUAUAAGAGCCUGAGCUCAUUAGGGCGUCCUGUUCGGGUCUAAUUGCUCAUCACUACAGCUCCCUGAUAGGGUAAGUGUGAAUGGCACAUUUCUAAAGGUGCGACAGCUCCACCACCAGGCAGGGAGCUCCAGUGUGCUCAGGCUGGACCCCAGCUGGAUGAAUGCCCAGGUUGGAUGGGGCUCUUGGCAACCUGAUCUAGUGGAUGGCAACCCUACCCAAGGCAGGGGCUGGAACUGGGUGGGCUUUAAGGCCCCUUCCAACCCAAGCCAUUCUAUGAUUCUCUGAUUCUCUAAUUCCACAUGUCUGUGGUUCUAUGAUUCUAUGCUUGGGGGCACAGUGUUGGUAGGUGGGAGAAGAGCAACUGAUGGCAUCUGCCUGGACUCAUAGAAAGCUUUCCAAACUGUCCUACACAACAUCCUUGUCUCUAAAUUGGAGAGAUCUGGAUUUGAUGGAUGGACUAUUUGGUGGAUAAAGAAUUGGCCAGAUGGUUGCAUUCAAAAGGUUGUGGUCAACACCUUGGUGUCCAGGUGGGCACCAGUGAUGAAUGGUGCUUCUCAGGGUUUGGUAUUGAGACAGGCUUGAGGAGUGGGCCCAUGUGAACCUCAUGACAUUCAACAAGGCCGAGUUCAAGGUCCUGCACCUGGCAUGGGGCAAUCCCAAAUGGACACAGGCUGUGCAACGAUCAGAUUGAGAGCAGCCUUGAGGAGAAAGACUUGGGGGUUCUGGUGUGCUCGCAGGCUGGAGGGCCUACGGUAUCCUGGGUGCAUCAGCAGAGGUGUAGCAGCAGGGAGAAGGAGGGGAUCGUCCCCCUCUGCUCUGCCCUUGUAAGGCCCCAUCUGGAGUACUGUGUCCAAGCAUGGGGUCCCCAAUGCAGGAGGGAUGUGAAGCUGUUGGAGUGGAUCCAGAGGAGGGCCAUGAAGAUGAUCAGAGGGAUGAAGCACCUCUCCUAUGAAGACAGGCUGAGGGAGCUGGGCUUAUUCAGCCUGGAGAAGAGAAAGCUCUGAGGAGACCUCAUUGUGGCCUUCCAGUACUUGGAGGGGGCCUGCAGGAAAGCUGAGGGGGAACUCUUUGUCAGGGGGUGUAGGAGUAGGACAAGGGGUGUUGGUUUUAAACUAUAAGAGGGUGGGUUUAGAUCAAACGUAACGCUCAGCUGGACUUUCUCCAUCGGCAGUGUGUCCAAUGUGCAGUCCUCAGAGAGGGGAUGGGCAGCAUCUAAUCAUGCAUUUUCAUGUAAACAGACAGUUCUAAGUGCGUUGAAGUCUAACAAACACUUUACCGCCUGGAGAUGUGGGUUCACCACAGAAAGAUCACGGGGCUGCUGAGUGAUGCACGUCCGCCUCCACCAUCCCAGAAUCCAGCUCUUCUGAAUGAGCACUUUUGCCCCCAGAGGCAUCUUUUAUCUCUGGCCUGAGAUGAUCCAGAGGUCUCCACAGCCACUUCUCAGGGUUCACAAAUAAUUCAGCUAUUCAGGAAAUCACUAAAACGAGCGCGAAUGAAUGGAGAGCUCGGAAGGGAGACAGAAUGGGUAAAUUCAGGCUUUUGGGGACUGAAGAGGACAGUGUCAUCUACCCCUGACACAGACUGACUCGCUUAAGGAGCGGCUGAAAAGCAGAGUGAUAAAUGGUGUGAAACACAGCAACUGUGAGACCCUGCAGCAGCAGGUGCCCGCUGAAAGGUUCCCACCAGCAAGUGAGAUCAAACUGCCCCACUGCAACCAGAGAACCGGGCUGUCCGGUUCUGGGGAGCUAUGCAUUGAUAAACCCCAGCCUCCCAAAGCCAUGCGAGAGAAAUGAGCUCCCGAGGUCACUUUGAAGUGGUUUUGCAGCUCAUUGGGUUCACUGCCAAAAUGCGUCCUGGAAGCGCGGGUGCAGGAGGAGCCAAGCCCAGG